This is a long non-coding RNA of Triticum aestivum (bread wheat), 1878 nucleotides long. RefSeq lists it as uncharacterized. The record is from RefSeq and is a predicted model, not a curated record. The transcript is spliced from 3 exons. Lineage: Eukaryota; Viridiplantae; Streptophyta; Magnoliopsida; Poales; Poaceae.
GCCUGGCGCUGAGGAAACCAGCGCCGCCGCCCUGAUCUCUCCCCACAGCCGCCCCGAUCUCUCCCCACCGCCGCCCCUCUCCCCCCACCACCGCCCUGGUCUCUCCCGAGGAGACCAGCGCCGCUGCCCCGAUCUCUCCCGAGGAGACCAGCGCCGCCACCCCGGUCUCUCCUCACCGCCGCCUGAGUUGCUCCCGCCACCGGCCGAUCUGACGCUGCCGCCUCCUCCUCCAGUUAUCCCCUCCACGGGCAGAGCUCCUACCCCAACUCUAAGAAGAGCCCGCAGCCCCUAGGCUAAUCUCGACGGUGAAGUAUCGUCGCUGCCAUAGCUUGCCAAGUUCUUCUAGCGCUCGGACGCGAGGUUGAGGACGCGAAGAAUUAGGUUAUGGAUCCAGCAGAUCGUAUUGCUGUCCGUUUUCAUUUCAAUGGGGAAUUUAUCAAUGAUGGGAAGACAAUACAGUAUGUGGGGGGCAAAGAAGCAAUGUCCUUUUUAGAUCGAGCAACCUUGAGCUUAUAGAGAAUUCAACAAUGUUUGACUGAGCAUUAUGUCACAAUGCACACCUGAUGGAGCAAGGAAUGUUAUGAACACAGACCCACAACACUGGAGCAGGGCUUGGUUCAGGUUAGGAAGUUGUUGUGAUUCUGUGGACAAUAACAUUUCUGAAACUUUUAACAAAUGGAUAGUUGAGGCUAGAUUAUAUCCUGUGAUAACAAUGUCCGAAACAAUUAGGCAGCAAAUUAUGAUCAGGAUACAUGAAAUGAGAAGUGAGAUGGAAAGUUGGACUGGCAUCAUCUGUCCAAAAGUACUGAAGAAGCUACAGAAAAGCAUAGAUUAUUCUGCUUAUUGUCAUGCAAUUUUUAAUGGCAAUGAUGCAUAUGAAGUGAAGACAAGAGUACAUAGGUACACUGUCAGAUUGCAUGACAGGACAUGUAUUUGUAGGUAUUGGCGGUUGUCAGGCCUUCCUUACUCUCAUGCCAUCAGCUGCAUACACUGCACUACAAACAAAUUGGAUGAUUACAUUGCUGAUUGCUACAGAGUGGAUAAUUUCAAAAAACUUAUGCUUAUUGUCUGCAACCUCUUGAGGGAAGAGAUGCAUGGCCUGUGUCUCAGAGAACAAAACCAAAAGCACCUGGGCACAUCAAUAUGCCUGGUAGGAAAAAGAAGUGUAGAACAAGAGAAGAGGAAGAAAAACCAAAGACUAGCAAAGUUAGCAAGGUUGGCAUAGUGAUCAAGUGUAGCUUGUGCAAGCAAAGUAGACACAACAAAAGAACUUGCAAACAAAGAAAUGGAGUGCCUAGUGCUAGUGCUCCAUCUGCUUUUGCUCCUAGUGGUACUGCUCCACUUUCUGCUACUCCUAGUGCUCCUAGGGAAGUGCUCGUCCACCAAGUGAAGCACCUAUUCUGAGUUCACAACAAAGCACUUCACACAAAAGAAGGGCCACCGAGGAGAUGGCACCACCAAGACAAGCAAAGAGAAGGGCGCCAAGUAAUAACAACAGUAGGUCAAAUAAUUUCUCUGGAAAUACCUUCAAUGUACAUGGAAGCUCGAAUGUGAAUGUCAAUGUUUGCACUGGUACUUCUCGCGCGACAACUAGCAGCAAAGUUACCAAAGAGAGGAGCAGUAGCAAUGGCAGUAACAAAGGCAAGGGGAUUGGCAAGGCCAAAUAUGCUCGGUUUCGAAGCUUGCUGGGACUUGAAAAUUGAGAGUUAUUUGUGUGCUUGUGAGGUUUGGGUGUCGAUCAGACCUAUCUAUGUGAGACAUAUGUGUCAGACCUAUUUGUGAGACCUUUGUGUGUAUCAGACCUAUCUAUAUGUAUGUGAGACCUAUGUAUGUGUGUUUCAGACCUAUAUAUAUGUAUGUGUGACCAGUUUUGUUCAA